RNAcentral lists this ribosomal RNA (490 nucleotides) under uncultured bacterium. RNAcentral's name for it is "partial 16S ribosomal RNA". It matches the Rfam family "Bacterial small subunit ribosomal RNA", at positions 30 to 507 of the family's 1533-position model. The record is from RNAcentral.
AUUGAACGCUGGCGGCAGGCCUAACACAUGCAAGUCGAACGGUAACAGGAAGCAGCUUGCUGCUUUGCUGACGAGUGGCGGACGGGUGAGUAAUGUCUGGGAAACUGCCUGAUGGAGGGGGAUAACUACUGGAAACGGUAGCUAAUACCGCAUAACGUCGCAAGACCAAAGAGGGGGACCUUCGGGCCUCUUGCCAUCGGAUGUGCCCAGAUGGGAUUAGCUAGUAGGUGGGGUAACGGCUCACCUAGGCGACGAUCCCUAGCUGGUCUGAGAGGAUGACCAGCCGCACUGGAACUGAGACACGGUCCAGACUCCUACGGGAGGCAGCAGUGGGGAAUAUUGCACAAUGGGCGCAAGCCUGAUGCAGCCAUGCCGCGUGUAUGAAGAAGGCCUUCGGGUUGUAAAGUACUUUCAGCGGGGAGGAAGGGAGUAAAGUUAAUACCUUUGCUCAUUGACGUUACCCGCAGAAGAAGCACCGGCUAACUCCGUG